GAACGCUGGCGGCGUGCUUAACACAUGCAAGUCGAACGAUGAAGCCCAGCUUGCUGGGUGGAUUAGUGGCGAACGGGUGAGUAACACGUGGGUGAUCUGCCCUGCACUUCGGGAUAAGCCUGGGAAACUGGGUCUAAUACCGGAUAGGACCUCGGGAUGCAUGUUCCGGGGUGGAAAGGUUUUCCGGUGCAGGAUGGGCCCGCGGCCUAUCAGCUUGUUGGUGGGGUAACGGCCCACCAAGGCGACGACGGGUAGCCGGCCUGAGAGGGCGACCGGCCACACUGGGACUGAGACACGGCCCAGACUCCUACGGGAGGCAGCAGUGGGGAAUAUUGCACAAUGGGCGCAAGCCUGAUGCAGCGACGCCGCGUGAGGGAUGACGGCCUUCGGGUUGUAAACCUCUUUCAGUACCGACGAAGCGCGAGUGACGGUAGGUACAGAAGAAGCACCGGCCAACUACGUGCCAGCAGCCGCGGUAAUACGUAGGGUGCGAGCGUUGUCCGGAAUUACUGGGCGUAAAGAGCUCGUAGGCGGUUUGUCGCGUCGUCUGUGAAAACCCGCAGCUCAACUGCGGGCUUGCAGGCGAUACCGGGCAGACUUGA
Molecule: ribosomal RNA, 602 nt
Filed under: Rhodococcus sp. HN
Lineage: Bacteria; Bacillati; Actinomycetota; Actinomycetes; Mycobacteriales; Nocardiaceae
Description: bacterial SSU rRNA
Rfam family: Bacterial small subunit ribosomal RNA
Source: RNAcentral